RNAcentral lists this long non-coding RNA (252 nucleotides) under Daucus carota (carrot). RNAcentral's name for it is "long non-coding RNA (DCAR_LNC000317)". The record is from RNAcentral. Lineage: Eukaryota; Viridiplantae; Streptophyta; Magnoliopsida; Apiales; Apiaceae.
GCAAAGUGUCUACGGGUUAAAAGUAAGGGGCUGCAUAGUGUUUAUUCCAAAACUAUUAGGUGCAAUGUGCAACAUGCUGAAAUCAAAGGGGUGCCAAAUGCAAUUAACUCUAAAAAGAAUAACAUAGUGUUAAUAAUCAAAUCCGAACCUAACGUUAGUGACAAAAAAAAAAUCCGAACCUAACAUUAGUGGCAAAAAAGAAAAAAAUUAUAGUUCAGUGGUAGGUUUCUAAACAAAUAAUAAGUUAGGUGG